CCUGAGAAACCCGAAAGAUCGAAUGGGGAGAUUCAUCGUCAGCGAUUUCGGUGCGUGUGCGGCUCGCGAUGUCAGAGACUUCGGUCUCGCGGCACGCGUCCGUAUGUUUUUUAUUGCCGGAAUCGUCGGCGUGCACUUCUCCCCUAGUAGGACGUCGCGACCCGUUGGGUGUCGGUCUACGGCACGGUAGGGUAGCCUGUCACGUGUGCGCUUCACGGCGUUACGCGGGGCAGACCUCCGUGUUCGCCCGACCGGCUGCUCGGCGGUACUCGCAAGGUAUCUGGCCGCAGACAUACGAACUGCGUCCGGCCCGUCGCAAGCGCGGCAAGUGUCUCCCGGCUGUACGGAUCCAAUGCCGUCACCGGGCCUUGCCAGCUGUUGGUUGACGGUGUCCUAGGACUGGCUAACAAAAUUAUGAUACCGGUCGGCGACGCUACUGCUUUGGGUACUUUCAGGA
Molecule: ribosomal RNA, 457 nt
Filed under: Protichneumon grandis
Lineage: Eukaryota; Metazoa; Arthropoda; Insecta; Hymenoptera; Ichneumonidae
Description: partial 28S ribosomal RNA
Source: RNAcentral